This 263-nucleotide ribosomal RNA is filed under the name uncultured bacterium. RNAcentral's name for it is "partial 16S ribosomal RNA". It matches the Rfam family "Bacterial small subunit ribosomal RNA", at positions 94 to 353 of the family's 1533-position model. The record is from RNAcentral.
AGUUGCGAACGGGUGAGUAACGCGUAGGUAACCUGCCUUGUAGCGGGGGAUAACUAUUGGAAACGACUGCUAAUACCGCAUAAGCCCACGGAUCCGCAUGGAUCUGCGGGAAAAGGAUUUAUUUGCUUCAGGAUGGACUCGCGUCCAAUUAGCUAGUUGGUGAGGUAACGGCCCACCAAGGCGACGAUUGGUAGCCGGACUGAGAGGUUGAACGGCCACAUUGGGACUGAGACACGGCCCAGACUCCUACGGGAGGCAGCAUG